UACGUAGGGUGCAAGCGUUAUCCGGAAUCACUGGGUGUAAAGGGAGUGUAGGCUGGCACUUGCGUCAGAGGUUAAAUCCCCGAGCUUAACUCGGGAACCGCCUUUGAUACGGGGUGUCUUGAGUAUGAGAGAGGAUGAUGGAAUUCCUGGUGUAGCAGUGAAAUGCGUAGAUAUCAGGAGGAACACCGGUGGCGAAGGCGGUCAUCUGGCUCAUUACUGACGCUGAGGCUCGAAAGCGUGGGGAUCAAACAGGAUUAGAUACCCUGGUAGUCCACGCCCUAAACGAUGUAUGCUUGGUGUUAAUCUCGUCAGAGAUUAGUGCCGUAGGAAACCCGUUAAGCAUACCACCUGGGGAGUACGAUCGCAAGGUUGAA
This 374-nucleotide ribosomal RNA is filed under the name uncultured bacterium. RNAcentral's name for it is "bacterial SSU rRNA". It matches the Rfam family "Bacterial small subunit ribosomal RNA", at positions 524 to 898 of the family's 1533-position model. The record is from RNAcentral.